Long non-coding RNA from Girardinichthys multiradiatus, 237 nucleotides. RefSeq lists it as uncharacterized. The transcript is spliced from 3 exons. The record is from RefSeq and is a predicted model, not a curated record. NCBI's taxonomy places the organism in Eukaryota, Metazoa, Chordata, Actinopteri, Cyprinodontiformes, Goodeidae.
GUCCCUUCAUGGAUACAGAUGGAUUUGUGUCAGAACCACCACUGAAGGAAAAUCUAAAGGAAUGAGAGAGAAAAGGUACCAGACGUUUUUUAUCCAGGAGAACAAACGUCGUAUACAGCUUAAUCUCUGUGCUGAUAAAGAUGGAUGACCUCUCCUUACCCUGAGCUGACAUGAGUUUUGGUUGUGCGAAGUCGGCACGGUGACGGGUGUUGGACUCCUGGUUCUGUGGAGAACGGC